AUUGAACGCUGGCGGAAUGCUUUACACAUGCAAGUCGAACGGUAACAGGUCUUCGGAUGCUGACGAGUGGCGAACGGGUGAGUAAUGCAUCGGAACGUGCCCAGUAGUGGGGGAUAGCCCGGCGAAAGCCGGAUUAAUACCGCAUACGACCUGAGGGUGAAAGGGGGGGAUCGCAAGACCUCUCGCUAUUGGAGCGGCCGAUGUCAGAUUAGCUAGUUGGUGGGGUAAAGGCCUACCAAGGCAACGAUCUGUAGUUGGUCUGAGAGGACGACCAGCCACACUGGGACUGAGACACGGCCCAGACUCCUACGGGAGGCAGCAGUGGGGAAUUUUGGACAAUGGGCGCAAGCCUGAUCCAGCAAUGCCGCGUGCAGGAAGAAGGCCUUCGGGUUGUAAACUGCUUUUGUCAGGGAAGAAAUCUUCUGGGCUAAUACCUCGGGAGGAUGACGGUACCUGAAGAAUAAGCACCGGCUAACUACGUGCCAGCCGCCGCCGUAA
Molecule: ribosomal RNA, 498 nt
Filed under: uncultured bacterium
Lineage: Bacteria
Description: partial 16S ribosomal RNA
Rfam family: Bacterial small subunit ribosomal RNA
Source: RNAcentral